RNAcentral lists this ribosomal RNA (460 nucleotides) under uncultured bacterium. RNAcentral's name for it is "partial 16S ribosomal RNA". It matches the Rfam family "Bacterial small subunit ribosomal RNA", at positions 338 to 795 of the family's 1533-position model. The record is from RNAcentral.
CCUACGGGAGGCAGCAGUGAGGAAUAUUGGUCAAUGGAGGAGAGUCUGAACCAGCCAAGUAGCGUGAAGGAUGACUGCCCUAUGGGUUGUAAACUUCUUUUAUAAAGGAAUAAAACGAGGUACGUGUGCCUUUUUGCAUGUACCGUAUGAAUAAGGAUCGGCUAACUCCGUGCCAGCAGCCGCGGUAAUACGGAGGAACCGAGCGUUAUCCGGAUUUAUUGGGUUUAAAGGGAGCGUAGAUGGGUUGUUAAGUCAGUUGUGAAAGUUUGUGGCUCAACCGUAAAAUUGCAAUUGAUACUGGCAGUCUUGAGUACAGUUGAGGUAGGCGGAAUUCGUGGUGUAGCGGUGAAAUGCUUAGAUAUCACGAAGAACCCCGAUUGCGAAGGCAGCUUACUAAACUGUAACUGACAUUGAGGCUCGAAAGUGUGGGUAGCAAACAGGAUUAGAUACCCCAGUAGUC